This 262-nucleotide signal recognition particle RNA is filed under the name Lachnospiraceae bacterium. Its description in RNAcentral is "signal recognition particle sRNA large type". It matches the Rfam family "Bacterial large signal recognition particle RNA". From Rfam's summary of the family: The signal recognition particle (SRP) is a universally conserved ribonucleoprotein involved in the co-translational targeting of proteins to membranes. Lineage: Bacteria; Bacillati; Bacillota; Clostridia; Lachnospirales; Lachnospiraceae. The record is from RNAcentral.
CCGCGCAGCCGGGGAGAUAGCGGUGCCCUGUACCUGCAAUCCGCUACAGCAGGGGUGAUACCGAUCCGAGGCUGCACUGUUGUGAAGCAGCACUCUAUAAGUGGUGAUGACGUUUGGGUCUCGUGCGGCAGAAACCCGCGAACCGUGUCAGGUCGGGAACGAAGCAGCACUAAACGGGAGCUUCUGGGCGACGCGAGGCAGCCUGGACUGAGCUAACUGUAGAGAAAGCGUUUGUGACAUGUAGUCGACGUGAGGUGCGCGG